This 253-nucleotide ribosomal RNA is filed under the name uncultured microorganism. Its description in RNAcentral is "partial 16S ribosomal RNA". It matches the Rfam family "Bacterial small subunit ribosomal RNA", at positions 524 to 776 of the family's 1533-position model. The record is from RNAcentral.
UACGUAGGGUGCGAGCGUUAAUCGGAUUUACUGGGCGUAAAGCGUGCGCAGGCGGCCCGUUAAGACAGGUGUGAAAUCCCUGGGCUCAACCUAGGAAUUGCGCUUGUGACUGGCGGGCUCGAGUACGGUAGAGGGGGGUGGAAUUCCUGGUGUAGCAGUGAAAUGCGUAGAGAUCAGGAGGAACACCGAUGGCGAAGACAGCCCCCUGGGCCUGUACUGACGCUCAUGCACGAAAGCGUGGGGAGCAAACAGG